This 490-nucleotide ribosomal RNA is filed under the name uncultured bacterium. Its description in RNAcentral is "partial 16S ribosomal RNA". It matches the Rfam family "Bacterial small subunit ribosomal RNA", at positions 30 to 507 of the family's 1533-position model. The record is from RNAcentral.
AUUGAACGCUGGCGGCAGGCCUAACACAUGCAAGUCGAACGGUAACAGGAAGAAGCUUGCUUCUUUGCUGACGAGUGGCGGACGGGUGAGUAAUGUCUGGGAAACUGCCUGAUGGAGGGGGAUAACUACUGGAAACGGUAGCUAAUACCACAUAACGUCGCAAGACCAAAAAGGGGGACCUUCGGGCCUCUUGCCAUCUGAUGUGCCCAGAUGGGAUUAGCUAGUAGGUGGGGUAACGGCUCACCUAGGCGACGAUCCCUAGCUGGUCUGAGAGGAUGACCAGCCACACUGGAACUGAGACACGGUCCAGACUCCUACGGGAGGCAGCAGUGGGGAAUAUUGCACAAUGGGCGCAAGCCUGAUGCAGCCAUGCCGCGUGUAUGAAGAAGGCCUUCGGGUUGUAAAGUACUUUCAGCGGGGAGGAAGGGAGUAAAGUUAAUACCUUUGCUCAUUGACGUUACCCGCAGAAGAAGCACCGGCUAACUCCGUG